GUGCUCACGUCAGCAGCACAUAUGCUAAACCUGAACAAUACAGAGAAGGUUAGCAUGGCCCCUGCGCAAGGAUGACAUGCAAAUUCACGAAGCAGUCCAUAUUUAA
This is a small nuclear RNA of Eptesicus fuscus (big brown bat), 106 nucleotides long. The record is from RefSeq and is a predicted model, not a curated record. Lineage: Eukaryota; Metazoa; Chordata; Mammalia; Chiroptera; Vespertilionidae.